This is a long non-coding RNA of Bos taurus (domestic cattle), 1499 nucleotides long. The record is from Ensembl. NCBI's taxonomy places the organism in Eukaryota, Metazoa, Chordata, Mammalia, Artiodactyla, Bovidae.
GGGUUACAAUAGACUUUGAGGCAGGGGACAUUUUACCAACAUAAAUACAAACCUGUCCCUAUAGGGAGAUGUUGUCAAAUACUGGGAUAUGGAAAACAUUCCCAUCAAAUAUGAGAAAAGGAUUAUUGCGCUAUAUCAAAUGAGUAUUUAGGUCUCAGCCUCCAUGUGCACUGGAGUGAAACGGAGCCCCGGGGACCAAAUAAUGCAAGACUGUUUGAGUGGCAAGGGUGACUAGGCGGAGGGUUGGCUGCUGGAACGCCUGGUGGUACUUGAAUUCACAGCACACACAUGGACGUUUUCGGGUUGUUUGUUUGCUUCCAAAGCAGUGCAGAAUAAAGCUGAGAGGCGCCGACCGGUUGACCAUUGCAGCCGACUGGUCUACGCUCCGGAUUCGCAUUGGAUUCAUCCAGACCGCCAAGAGAUGAAUUCAGGGUGUGCUCUCUUAAGUCUGCCAACUGAGAGCUCCGGGAUUGCCAUCGCCCCUCUUCGCACUGAGCCAUUGUGCUACCCUGCGCCGCAGUAACCACUGCUUUUUAGUUUUGUUUUCUCGCAUUAGGGGAGCAUCUCUGUGCAUUUGUGGAAGUAUUCUGCUUUAGGCCAAACCUAUACACACAGUAUCACUUUAAACAGUUUUAUGCUGUCAUCUUGUGCAAAGGUCCUCUCCCACCCGUACACAAAGACACUGGGGUGGGGGUGGGGAGGCCCCAUCCCUUAUUCAUAACUAGCUUGCUCAGUCCGUGGGCAUUUGAAUGGGGUGAUGCGAGACCUCCGUUUGAUCUCUCAAAGACCGUUAGGCAGAACGCAGAUCAUAUGCGGUGACUUUGGGGGCGCUAGCGUGGCCCCUCCAUCCGCUCCCUGAAAGUUUAGACCCAGUGCUUAAACACAAACUCCAAAAGAGCACUUGCCGGCUUUUCAGGACAGAGACUUUAUUUUUUAUUACAACGUGGAGGUGUAGAAAGGUAAACUCUGCGCCACAGAGGGAGGACUAUUUUCCCCUUUGAAAUAGCUUGCAAAACGGGUCGUCGUCCUUGGACCAGCAGGUUUUCAAAAGCAUGUUCUUCUGCAGCGGCAAAAGGGGAAAAACAACAACAACAACAACAACGUUGCAAAAAGAACUCAAGAAAGCCCCCAUUUCUCGAACCAGUUCCAAUGCCCUACCUCCAACUCCUUCAGCCAGUGGCCGCAGGGCCUGGCUCCCCCCAACUUAAAAGCUCUUCUCGCGCCGGGACCCUAGUGCACCCGCAGCGCUCAGAUAGGUUCCGGAUAUCCCCGAGCCGUGUUUCUGUGGCCAAGUGUGGGAAUGAAAGCCGCCUCGGGCCCGGUGCCGCCAAAUCGGGCCUGGAGGGAGGGGGGAAAAGAGUUGAAGGGGAACUGCCACCCGCCUCGCCCAGAGGCACCCUCACGCUCAUCCGCGCAGGUCCUCCCUUCCCCGCCCCGCGGGCGCUGCCGCGUCCCGAGUGCUGCAGUCCCUCCCGUGCAAGCAGGGGAGGCGCGGGGAG